Molecule: ribosomal RNA, 242 nt
Filed under: uncultured bacterium
Lineage: Bacteria
Description: partial 16S ribosomal RNA
Rfam family: Bacterial small subunit ribosomal RNA
Source: RNAcentral
GACGAACGCUGGCGGCGUGCUUAACACAUGCAAGUCGAGCGGUAAGGCCCUUUCGGGGGUACACGAGCGGCGAACGGGUGAGUAACACGUGGGUGACCUGCCCUCAGCUCCGGGAGUAAGCCUGGGAAACCGGGUACGUAAUACCGGAUAUGACUCCAUGACGCAUGUUGUGGGGUGGAAAGCCUUGUGCGGCUGAGGAUGGGCCCGCGGCCUAUCAGCUUGUUGGUGGGGUGAUGGCCACC